CGUGUAGCAGUGAAAUGCGUAGAUAUGUGGAGGAACACCGAUGGCGAAGGCAGCCCCCUGGGUGAACACUGACGCUCAUGCACGAAAGCGUGGGGAGCAAACAGGAUUAGAUACCCUGGUAGUCCACGCCCUAAACUAUGUCAACUAGUUGUCGGGGAAGAAAUUCCUUGGUAACGAAGCUAACGCGUGAAGUUGACCGCCUGGGGAGUACGGCCGCAAGGUUAAAACUCAAAGGAAUUGACGGGGACCCGCGCAAGCGGUGGAUUAUGUGGAUUAAUUCGAUGCAACGCGAAAAACCUUACCUACCCUUGACAUGCUAGGAAGCCCGCAGAGAUGUGGGUGUGCCCGAAAGGGAACCUAGACACAGAUGCUGCAUGGCUGUCGUCAGCUGGUGUCGUGAGAUGUUGGGUUAAGUCCCGCAACGAGCGCAACCCUUGCCAUUAGUUGCUACAUUCAGUUGGGCACUCUAAUGGGACCGCCGGUGACAAACCGGAGGAAGGUGGGGAUGACGUCAAGUCCUCAUGGCCCUUAUGGGUAGGGCUUCACACGUAAUACAAUGGUCGGUACAGAGGGCUGCCAACCCGCAAGGGGGAGCUAAUCCCAGAAAGCCGAUCGUAGUCCGGAUUGUAGUCUGCAACUCGACUGCAUGAAGCCGGAAUCGCUAGUAAUCGCGGAUCAGCAUGUCGCGGUGAAUACGUUCCCGGGUCUUGUACACACCGCCCGUCACACCAUGGGAGUGGGUUUCACCAGAAGUAGGUAGCCUAACCGCAAGGAGGGCGCUUACCACGGUGGGAUUCAUGACUGGGGUG
This 809-nucleotide ribosomal RNA is filed under the name uncultured Comamonadaceae bacterium. RNAcentral describes it as "bacterial SSU rRNA". It matches the Rfam family "Bacterial small subunit ribosomal RNA", at positions 672 to 1482 of the family's 1533-position model. Lineage: Bacteria; Pseudomonadati; Pseudomonadota; Betaproteobacteria; Burkholderiales; Comamonadaceae. The record is from RNAcentral.